This 219-nucleotide unclassified non-coding RNA is filed under the name uncultured fungus. Its description in RNAcentral is "sequence contains ITS1". Lineage: Eukaryota; Fungi. The record is from RNAcentral.
GUAUUGAUUGCGUGUGACCGCAAAAAUAACAUUCUACACUGUAUCAAGUUUUGUGUGAAAACGUGAGCCCUCCUGCAAAGGGGACCCACGCGGUGAUGCACAAGGGGUGAAAUGGAUGUGUGAGAGUGCUCAGGCGUGCACGACCUUUUGAAAGGUCAGCGACAGCCCUCGCACCCCCGUUGUAUGAUAAUGAUCCUUCCGCAGGUUCACCUACGGAAA